RNAcentral lists this transfer RNA (89 nucleotides) under Paucidesulfovibrio gracilis DSM 16080. RNAcentral describes it as "Desulfovibrio gracilis DSM 16080 tRNA". It matches the Rfam family "tRNA". From Rfam's summary of the family: Transfer RNA (tRNA) molecules are approximately 80 nucleotides in length. Their secondary structure includes four short double-helical elements and three loops (D, anti-codon, and T loops). Further hydrogen bonds mediate the characteristic L-shaped molecular structure. tRNAs have two regions of fundamental functional importance: the anti-codon, which is responsible for specific mRNA codon recognition, and the 3' end, to which the tRNAs corresponding amino acid is attached (by aminoacyl-tRNA synthetases). tRNAs cope with the degeneracy of the genetic code in two manners: having more than one tRNA (with a specific anti-codon) for a particular amino acid; and 'wobble' base-pairing, i.e. permitting non-standard base-pairing at the 3rd anti-codon position. Lineage: Bacteria; Pseudomonadati; Thermodesulfobacteriota; Desulfovibrionia; Desulfovibrionales; Desulfovibrionaceae. The record is from Rfam by way of RNAcentral.
GGAGAGGUGUCCGAGUCCGGCUUAAGGAGCACGCCUGGAAAGCGUGUGUGGGGGAAACUCCACCGGAGGUUCAAAUCCUCUCCUCUCCG